This 253-nucleotide ribosomal RNA is filed under the name uncultured bacterium. RNAcentral's name for it is "partial 16S ribosomal RNA". It matches the Rfam family "Bacterial small subunit ribosomal RNA", at positions 524 to 776 of the family's 1533-position model. The record is from RNAcentral.
UACGGAGGGUGCAAGCGUUGUCCGGAAUCACUGGGCGUAAAGGGCGCGUAGGCGGCCCGGUAAGUAGGGGGUGAAAUCCUGCGGCUUAACCGCAGGGCUGCCUUCUAAACUGUCGGGCUCGAGCACGGUAGAGGCAGAUGGAAUUCCCGGUGUAGCGGUGGAAUGCGUAGAGAUCGGGGAGAACAUCAGUGGCGAAGGCGGUCUGCUGGGCCGUUGCUGACGCUGAGGCGCGACAGCGUGGGGAGCAAACAGG